UGAUACGUAGGGUCCGAGCGUUGUCCGGAAUUAUUGGGCGUAAAGGGCUUGUAGGCGGUUUGUUGCGUCGGAAGUGAAAACUCAGGGCUUAACCCUGAGCCUGCUUCCGAUACGGGCAAACUAGAGGGAUGCAGGGGAGAAUGGAAUUCCUGGUGGAGCGGUGGAAUGCGCAGAUAUCAGGAGGAACACCGGUGGCGAAGGCGGUUCUCUGGGCAUUUCCUGACGCUGAGAAGCGAAAGCGUGGGGAGCAAA
This 252-nucleotide ribosomal RNA is filed under the name uncultured bacterium. RNAcentral's name for it is "partial 16S ribosomal RNA". It matches the Rfam family "Bacterial small subunit ribosomal RNA", at positions 521 to 772 of the family's 1533-position model. The record is from RNAcentral.